RNAcentral lists this ribosomal RNA (434 nucleotides) under uncultured Dorea sp. RNAcentral's name for it is "bacterial SSU rRNA". It matches the Rfam family "Bacterial small subunit ribosomal RNA", at positions 958 to 1393 of the family's 1533-position model. Lineage: Bacteria; Bacillati; Bacillota; Clostridia; Lachnospirales; Lachnospiraceae. The record is from RNAcentral.
AACGCGAAGAACCUUACCAAAUCUUGACAUCCCGAUGACAGACUGUGUAAAGCAGUUUCUCUUCGGAGCAUCGGUGACAGGUGGUGCAUGGUUGUCGUCAGCUCGUGUCGUGAGAUGUUGGGUUAAGUCCCGCAACGAGCGCAACCCUUGUCUUUAGUAGCCAGCAUUUAGGAUGGGCACUCUAGAGAGACUGCCAGGGAUAACCUGGAGGAAGGUGGGGAUGACGUCAAAUCAUCAUGCCCCUUAUGAUUUGGGCUACACACGUGCUACAAUGGCGUAAACAAAGAGAAGCAAAGGAGUGAUCCGGAGCAAAUCUCAAAAAUAACGUCUCAGUUCGGAUUGCAGGCUGCAACUCGCCUGCAUGAAGCCGGAAUCGCUAGUAAUCGCAGAUCAGCAUGCUGCGGUGAAUACGUUCCCGGGUCUUGUACACACGC